RNAcentral lists this ribosomal RNA (253 nucleotides) under uncultured bacterium. Its description in RNAcentral is "partial 16S ribosomal RNA". It matches the Rfam family "Bacterial small subunit ribosomal RNA", at positions 524 to 776 of the family's 1533-position model. The record is from RNAcentral.
UACGUAGGGUGCGAGCGUUAAUCGGAAUUACUGGGCGUAAAGCGUGCGCAGGCGGUUUUGUAAGACAGGCGUGAAAUCCCCGGGCUCAACCUGGGAACUGCGCUUGUGACUGCAUCACUCGAGUACGGCAGAGGGGGGUGGAAUUCCACGUGUAGCAGUGAAAUGCGUAGAGAUGUGGAGGAACACCGAUGGCGAAGGCAGCCCCCUGGGCCGAUACUGACGCUCAUGCACGAAAGCGUGGGUAGCAAACAGG